GAUGAACGCUGGCGGCGUGCCUAAUACAUGCAAGUCGAGCGAACAGAUAAGGAGCUUGCUCCUUUGACGUUAGCGGCGGACGGGUGAGUAACACGUGGAUAACCUACCUAUAAGACUGGGAUAACUUCGGGAAACCGGAGCUAAUACCGGAUAAGAUUUUGAACCGCAUGGUUCAAUAGUGAAAGACGGCCUUGCUGUCACUUAUAGAUGGAUCCGCGCCGUAUUAGCUAGUUGGUAAGGUAACGGCUUACCAAGGCAACGAUACGUAGCCGACCUGAGAGGGUGAUCGGCCACACUGGAACUGAGACACGGUCCAGACUCCUACGGGAGGCAGCAGUAGGGAAUCUUCAGCAAUGGGCGAAAGCCUGACGGAGCAACGCCGCGUGAUUGAUGAAGGUCUUCGGAUCGUAAAACUCUGUUAUCAGGGAAGAACAAACGUGUAAGUAACUGUGCACGUCUUGACGGUACCUGAUCAGAAAGCCACGGCUAACUACGUG
This 497-nucleotide ribosomal RNA is filed under the name uncultured bacterium. Its description in RNAcentral is "partial 16S ribosomal RNA". It matches the Rfam family "Bacterial small subunit ribosomal RNA", at positions 28 to 507 of the family's 1533-position model. The record is from RNAcentral.